AAAGCACAUUAGCAUAGCCACUAACAGUUUAAAUGAUAUUCUUUGAAGAAGUGUGUUUUCAAAGAUUUUUUUGAAGGAGUGGAGACUGUGAAAGUCUAACAGAGAAGGGAAGGGAGUUCCACAGAAAAGGUGCAGCCCUGGAGAAGUCUUGGAGGAGAGCAUCAGAUGUGGGAGUACAGACAGAGGAUAGAUGUAGGUCUUCGGCAAAGUACACGGACCUCGAUGGGACAUACUUGUGUUAUGGGCAAAUGAAAAUAUUACAAGUUUUAAACUGUGUACUUUGUCUUUAAGAUAUAUUGCAAACUGACAAGGUGUUAGAAAUGGAAGAUAUUGUUUUUCAUACAUGUUUCUUUAAGCAAUAACCUCUUACCUACUUUCAGUGCAUAAUAUGUUUACACCAAUUUGUCUAAGCUUAAUACAAAAACAAGUAAUACAUAACAUCUUCAAAGCAAUGCUAC
This is a non-coding RNA of Pelobates cultripes (western spadefoot toad), 458 nucleotides long. NCBI's taxonomy places the organism in Eukaryota, Metazoa, Chordata, Amphibia, Anura, Pelobatidae. The record is from the annotation of a GenBank genome assembly.